UAAUAAAUAUUAGUAAAUAUUUAUAAUUAAAUUUUAAAUUUCUCUAUGUUUUUUCUAUAUAUAAAAAGGUAUUGUCGGCAUAAGCAAUGGCAUCAAUUAGGACUUGAAUAUAAAGAGGUAAAAGACUUUUAGAAGGAGAUAUCUAAAGAGAAAAAAAGACUUUUGGAGGUAGUUAUGCUGAAUAUUACGUAGAUUUAAUAAAUAUUAGUAAAUUUUUAUAAUUAAAUUUUAAAUUUCUCUAUGUUUUUUCUAUAUAUAAAAAGGUAUUGUCGGCAUAAGCAAUGGCAUCAAUUAGGACUUGAAUAUAAAGAGAUAAAAGACUUUUAGAAGGAGAUAUCUAAAGAGAAAAAAAGACUUUUGGAGGUAGUUAUGCUGGAUAUUACUUGGAUUUGAUCAAGUUGUUGAUAUUUAUUUAAUCGGUCUUCAUAAACUUACUUACUGAGCGGUUAGUUUUGAAUAUAUAUAUAUUUUUUUAGUUAAUAUGCAUGCUUUGGUAAAAUUGUUUUUUAGUCAGACUUGUUUGUAUAAAAUAAAAUCAUACUUGUAAUAUUUUUUUUUUAUUUGCUUUCAUAUAUUUCGAUGAUUUGAUGAAUUAACUUUAUAGUAAUCUAUUAUCAAUUUCUAAAUUUAUCUCUUUCCUUUUUUUAUGAUUCUACUUUUUAAAUUUUACUAAAAUUACAAAAUUUUCUUCUCUUCGAUGCCUACUAAUUCUUUAAUUUUUUCUCUUUAUGUAGAAAAUGUCAUUAGCAUAUAGUUAUCUUCAACAUUGGGUUGAUGAUGAGGAAGGUAUGCAGCUGCCAACUGAUAUUUUAAUGGAAAUUUUCACUAGAGUUGAUUUGGCUACUCUAUACUCGUCUCGAGCUAUCUCUUUCUACUUCAACAGAGCAACUUACAUCUUUGAAUUUAUGUUGCGUCGUUGUCAAAGGUUGUCUGGAAC
This 937-nucleotide long non-coding RNA is filed under the name Ananas comosus (pineapple). RNAcentral's name for it is "long non-coding RNA (ACOM_LNC011280)". Lineage: Eukaryota; Viridiplantae; Streptophyta; Magnoliopsida; Poales; Bromeliaceae. The record is from RNAcentral.